UUGACUAUUUUAGAAGCGUAUUCAGAUACCAAGUAAACAAAGAGCCUAGUGUAGACCUUUGGCGGACGCAGCAAGGCUGGCAGCCCGCCGAAGCAACAGUUUCAGGUUCGCGUCGGGUCUGAGUUUUUACUCAAUUCUGUAAUGAUCCCUCCGCUGGUUCACCAACGGAGA
Molecule: unclassified non-coding RNA, 171 nt
Filed under: uncultured fungus
Lineage: Eukaryota; Fungi
Description: sequence contains ITS1
Source: RNAcentral